CGAAAUCAGAUUUGUGAUUACUUUGUUUCUAUAUGUGAUAAUUAUGUGCAGAAAGAUAGUGAUAUUCUUACUGUAGGUUUAAUAUGUGGCAUUGUCUCGAACUCCACAUCGUACUGAAAGAAAGUAUCCAAGUAAGGCCCAGAGAACGAGAUUGGCCCAACAAGGAACUCUAGUUCUGGUGGUACAAGAACUGUAGAUGCCCCCUGCUUGCAGGCAGCAGCCCACGCUCCUUCAAAAGCCUGUAUGCAAAUGCAUGCACAAUUAUUAGCUGUAGCUUCUUCUGAAAAGACAGUCCUCUGGAAUCUAGCAUCACAAAAUCAAUUGAGCAGGAGGUGAAAACACACUCUGUAAAGCCCAGACCCUAAGCUAGAUAGUCAGAAAUUGCACUGUGCGUCUUAUUAUUUUGGUCUCCAUGUUGGAACAAGCAGCAUUUUGCAACCACUAAGAAAGAAAUUGAAAAUCUAA
This is a long non-coding RNA of Setaria italica (foxtail millet), 465 nucleotides long. RefSeq lists it as uncharacterized. The record is from RefSeq and is a predicted model, not a curated record. The transcript has 2 exons. Lineage: Eukaryota; Viridiplantae; Streptophyta; Magnoliopsida; Poales; Poaceae.